CUCCUGGCCAGCUGCACCAUUGUCCUCGUGUGGACAAGACAGCUCGGGUGGCAGAUGGCGGUUUGAAGGUUGUGUGAUGAGGAGGAGUGUUGGAGAGCAGGUACAUCACACACCCUGUAGUGGAGAUGUC
Long non-coding RNA from Aedes aegypti (yellow fever mosquito), 130 nucleotides. RefSeq lists it as uncharacterized. Lineage: Eukaryota; Metazoa; Arthropoda; Insecta; Diptera; Culicidae. The transcript has 2 exons. The record is from RefSeq and is a predicted model, not a curated record.